Molecule: non-coding RNA, 124 nt
Organism: Hordeum vulgare subsp. vulgare (domesticated barley)
Lineage: Eukaryota; Viridiplantae; Streptophyta; Magnoliopsida; Poales; Poaceae
Source: Rfam
CAUGUACUCCCUCCGUCCGGAAUUACUCAACGCCAAAAUGAAAAGAAAUGAAUGUAUCUAGAACUAAAAUACAUCUAGAUACAUCCAUUAUAUGACAAGUAAUUCCGGACGGAGUGAGUAUUCA